AGAAUCAACGCUGGCGGCGUGCCUAACACAUGCAAGUCGAUCGAGAAAGUGGAGCAAUCCAUGAGUAAAGAGGCGCACGGGUGAGUAACACGUGACUAACCUACCUUCGAGUGGGGAAUAACCUGGGGAAACCCGGGCUAAUACCGCAUAAUACCUACGGGUCAAAGGAGCAAUUCGCUUGAAGAGGGGGUCGCGGCAGAUUAGUUAGUUGGCGGGGUAAUGGCCCACCAAGACGAUGAUCUGUAUCCGGCCUGAGAGGGCGCACGGACACACUGGAACUGAAACACGGUCCAGACUCCUACGGGAGGCAGCAGUGGGGAAUUUUGCGCAAUGGGGGAAACCCUGACGCAGCAACGCCGCGUGGAGGAUGAAGUCCCUUGGGACGUUAAACUCCUUUCGACCGGGACGAUUAUGACGGUACCGGAUGGAAGAAGCCCCGGCUAACGUUCGUGCCAGCAGCCGC
RNAcentral lists this ribosomal RNA (463 nucleotides) under uncultured bacterium. RNAcentral's name for it is "SSU rRNA". It matches the Rfam family "Bacterial small subunit ribosomal RNA", at positions 26 to 518 of the family's 1533-position model. The record is from RNAcentral.